AGGAUCCCAAAUGAAGGAAGUCAGGCUUCUGUAGUUAAGAAAAACCUACACAUAUCUUAACAGGGAAAAGCUGCAGGCUCUGAAGUCUUCCCAUGAGAGGAUCAUCUUCCUGACCACAGCCCACACCUUGAUAUUGCCUCGUCCUACUACGUCUAGACUUUUGCCCCUUGCAUGAACAGGAUACUAAGCACAGAGAGUCUCCUUGUUUCCUAAGACCAAACACACUGCUAAUCUGCACAGAUUGGUUUGCCUUCUGGCAGCAAGCAGCUGCAGCAGGAAAGGCUGAAAGCCAGGAGUUGAGGCCACACCUCACAUCCU
Molecule: long non-coding RNA, 318 nt
Organism: Gallus gallus (chicken)
Lineage: Eukaryota; Metazoa; Chordata; Aves; Galliformes; Phasianidae
Exons: 2
Source: RefSeq, a predicted model, not a curated record